Molecule: ribosomal RNA, 467 nt
Filed under: uncultured bacterium
Lineage: Bacteria
Description: partial 16S ribosomal RNA
Rfam family: Bacterial small subunit ribosomal RNA
Source: RNAcentral
GAUGAACGCUGACAGAAUGCUUAACACAUGCAAGUCAACUUGAAUUUGGGUUUUUAACUUAGGUUUGGGUGGCGGACGGGUGAGUAACGCGUAAAGAACUUGCCUCACAGCUAGGGACAACAUUUGGAAACGAAUGCUAAUACCUAAUAUUAUGAUAAUAGGGCAUCCUAUAAUUAUGAAAGCUAUAAGCGCUGUGAGAGAGCUUUGCGUCCCCUUAGCUAGUUGGAGAGGUAACGGCUCACCAAGGCGAUGAUGGGUAGCCGGCCUGAGAGGGUGAUCGGCCACAAGGGGACUGAGACACGGCCCUUACUCCUACGGGAGGCAGGAGUGGGGAAUAUUGGACAAUGGACCGAGAGUCUGAUCCAGCAGUUCUGUGUGCACGAUGAAGUUUUUCGGAAUGUAAAGUGCUUUCAGUUGGGAAGAAGCAAAUGACGGUACCAACAGAAGAAGUGGCGGCUAAAUACGUG